AGCGAUUAUCUCCGGGAGCCCUGCGUCCGGGACCGCCCGGGACACUUCUCCCCGUACUUCGCUCUCGGGGCUCUGCUGUGCCUUCUCCACGGAGUAGGAUGUGAUGUCAUAGAGAAGGGGACAGGGCUAUCCAAAUUCUCUCAAUUGCUGGGAGGAGCUGCCCAGGUGUGCUGAGGGGCCUGUACUCAGGAAGAGAAACAGGGAAUCCUCCACAGCACUAGAAAAACACCCCAACUCACCAAUGACAGCAAAGCAGAUAUUGGAAGUCAUUCAGAAAGAAGGGUUAAAAGAAACAAGACCCCGGCAUGGCUUGGAGACAGCGUUGGUGUGUAUGAAGGAUCUUCCUCCAAUGAAGGAUUUGGGACAACUUUCCAUGAUGAUUAUAUUAGAGCCUCAGCUGCUUUCGUGUUGGUCAUGAGGUGAUGCUGAACCGAAUGCUUGAACUAGCAGGAGUGGCUGGGAUUGCAU
RNAcentral lists this small RNA (468 nucleotides) under Pongo abelii (Sumatran orangutan). RNAcentral's name for it is "processed transcript". The record is from RNAcentral. Lineage: Eukaryota; Metazoa; Chordata; Mammalia; Primates; Hominidae.